GCCGUCGAUGGGGAUGGGGUUCCCCGAUAACCGCCGCUAUGGCUGAUGACUCCUGGCGAGGC
RNAcentral lists this non-coding RNA (62 nucleotides) under Hyphomicrobium denitrificans. Its description in RNAcentral is "Fluoride sequence". It matches the Rfam family "Fluoride riboswitch aptamer (crcB RNA motif)". Lineage: Bacteria; Pseudomonadati; Pseudomonadota; Alphaproteobacteria; Hyphomicrobiales; Hyphomicrobiaceae. RNAcentral also lists the same sequence under 1 other name. The record is from RNAcentral.